Molecule: ribosomal RNA, 643 nt
Filed under: uncultured archaeon
Lineage: Archaea
Description: bacterial SSU rRNA
Rfam family: Archaeal small subunit ribosomal RNA
Source: RNAcentral
UGGCGAGGUAACGGCUCACCAAACCUUUGACCGGUACGGGCCAUGAGAGUGGUAGCCCGGAGAUGGACACUGAGAUAGGGGUCCAGGCCCUACGGGGCGCAGCAGGCGCGAAAACUCCACACUGUACGUAAGUACGAUGGGGUUACCUCGAGUGUAGUCUGUAAAAGAUUGCUUUUCCAUAGAGUAAUAUCCUGUGGGAAUAAGAGGGGGGCAAGACUGGUGUCAGCCGCCGCGGUAACACCAGCCCCUCGAGUGGUAGGGACUUUUAUUUGGCCUAAAGCGUUCGUAGCCGUCUGUAACCGUUGCCCGUUAAAUCCAGCGUCUCAAGCGUUGGACUGCGGGCGAUACCUUACAGAUUGAGGGUGGGAUAGGUAAGCGGUAUUUCUGGGGUAGGGGCGAAAUCCUUUGAUCCCAGGAGGACCACCAGUGGCGAAGGCUGCUGACUAGAACACGCCUGACGGACAGGAACGAAAGCUGGGGUAGCGAACCGGAUUAGAUACCCGGGUAGUCCCAGCUGUAAACGAUGCGCGCUAGGUGUUGGGUCGGCCAUGCGCCGCCCCAGUGCCGCAGGGAAGCCGUUAAGCGCGCCGCCUGGGGAGUACGGCCGCAAGGCUGAAACUUAAAGGAAUUGGCGGGGGAGCAC